This 1661-nucleotide long non-coding RNA is filed under the name Homo sapiens (human). RNAcentral's name for it is "non-protein coding SMC2-AS1:12". Lineage: Eukaryota; Metazoa; Chordata; Mammalia; Primates; Hominidae. The record is from RNAcentral.
AUAUUUGGUGCUCUACUCUCCUAGGGAACUGGAAGGAACCUGCUCUCUCCUGGGUAUACUUUUCUAAUUUUAGAGUGCUAAAGAAGCUCUUCUCACAGGGACCCGAGUGAAUCCUUUCUCCUUGGAACAAAGGACAAGAAAAAAAGAAAGGACUUUACCGCAGAAGUAAGGAAGACUCAUUUUGUUGAGAGAUUAUUUUUAGGUUCAAGGAAAUGAAUUGAUAAUGACAGGAAGUUUAUAUUUUUACAUUGGAUUGACUAGCAGCACUUUUAUUUUUUCAGAGAAGGAGUCUCACUCUGUCUCAGGCUGGAGGGCAGUGGCCUGGCAGCACUUUUUGAAUACACUCGUGCACCACAUAAUAUUUCAAUGUCUGAUUACAUUAUGUGACUGUGGUCCCUUAAGAUUAUAAUGGAUAAUUCCUGUUGCUUAGUGAUGUUGUAACAUCGUAGUGCAACAUACUACCCUUUCUGUUUAGAAACACAAACACAACAUUGUGUUAUAGUUACCUACAUUAUUCAGUACAGUAAUAUGCUAUAAAAGUUUGUAGUCUAGAAUCAUAAGGCUAUAAUAUGUAGGUUUGUGUUAAGUAUACUUCAUGAUGUUUGCACAACAAUGAAAUUGCCUAAUGAGGCGUUUCUCAGAACGUAUCUCGUCGUUAGGCAACGCAUGACUGUAUUUUAUUUCUAACGCCAUAUUAUUUGAACUGUGGGUUCACCGAAUAUAACCUGUUUGACAAACUUGCAAAGAAACACAAUGAUGAAGAUCAUGUCUCCAAGUCUUUUCUGCCGUUGCCAGUAUUCUCUCCCAAUCUCCUGUGGGCAACUUCUUCGGGAAAACACUCAUGCAAUUUCAUAAGGACAAGCGAAAAUAUGAAGAAGCUGGAUCUUGGAACUAGGCUUUGAUCACAGAGCGGAGCUGAGAUGAAAGUCCAUCCACUCAUUCAACAAAUAAUUGAAUGCCACAUUUUGUUGGAACUCAGAGUUAUGAGUGGCCCUCGCCAUACCUACACUUUCUGACUGAGCUCCUCUCUACCCUGAAUACAAGAGACCCUAAUAGGCAGGAAUAUCAUCACCCCUCUUCAGCCUGAAGAUGUUACAGAAGAUGGAUAUUUGUCCGUUUACAACCCUUAAGAUUAAGGGUUCCCCUGUAAAAGGGAGGGGGAAAAUAUGUCAGAGAUGUUUGAACCAGAGCAACUUCGUCCUGAAUAGUGGCUCGGUAAAGUGAGGCUGACACCUAUGGACUGCAUUCCCAGGAGGUUAGGCAUUCUUAGUUACGGGAUGAAAUAGGAGUUUGGCACAAGAUGGGUCAUAAAGACCUUGCUGAUAAAAGGAUGUGGUACAGAAGCUGGCCAAAACUCACCAAAAUCAAGAUGUGAUGAAAGUGACUUCUGGUAGUCCUCACUCCUCAUUACACUAAUUAUAAUGCAUUAGCAUGCUAAAAGACACGUUCACCAGCACCAUUAUGGUUUACAAAUGCCAUGGCAAUAUCAGCAAGUUACCCUAUAUGGUCUUAAAAGGGGAGGAACCCUCAGUUCUGGGAAUUGCCCACCACUUUCCCAGGAAACUCAUGAAUAAUCCACCCUUUAUUUAGCAAAUAAUCAAGAAAUAACUAUAAGUAUAAUCAGUUGAGCAGCCCAUGCCACUGCUCUGCCUGUGGAAUAG